Long non-coding RNA from Heterocephalus glaber (naked mole-rat), 1552 nucleotides. The record is from Ensembl. Lineage: Eukaryota; Metazoa; Chordata; Mammalia; Rodentia; Bathyergidae.
AAAAAGCCUGGAAGGGGAUGGUUUGGUUGUGGUUUAGUGCAGCGGCUUCCGGACAGUUUGCAGGGGUGGGGUCCACAUUCUGCUGUUGUAGGAUUUCUCACUCGGUGUGUUCUCCUGAAGCAGGCCCCAGCAGUAGCUACGUGACAUUUAUCUCGUCUCCAUAACCUGUUUGUAGGUGCUGUCAUCAUCGUCAUCAUCAUCAUCAUCGUCAUCAUUCUCAUUUACAGGCAAGAAGAACCUGGAAUACUUGUGAUUGGUGAGCCAUUUCUAAAGGAAUGACCAGAUAACCUUUUUGACAUAACCAGCCAGGAGAGUGAAGCUCAGGUGCCGAGGAGGCCAAGUUUUAUGCUAAUUAAGUAGAGUCAUCCAGAGACUUGAAAUACCAGCUAAGGCCCCACCAAGACAAAGGAGGUGAGCCACUUCCAGUGCACAAGAAGAGGCUUCUGGGCCACCGUACCACCCCUACCAGCACACAGGAGGUGAGCCAUACAGGCACCAGCACCACCACCACCCCCCCAUCCCAUCGAAAUGAGAAGACACGUAAACAAGUCUCAAAACCAGACUUCCAGAUCACCUACAGCUACACCAAAGGGAAACGACAUGGAACACUCUGACAUGCAACCAUCUGGACUCCCUGAACUGGCAACAAAAGAGGAUCUGGAAAAAAAUGAAAUCAGAAAUAAUUUCUCAGAUAACAGCAGAGAUUGUGCUCAUAGUGCAAGACGUGAUUAAUAAAUCUAGAGAGGUGCUCAGGAACACGAUGGAAUCCCAACACAGGAGACAAAUGGAAUCCAUAAAACAGAUGCAAACAGAUUUCCAAGAGAUUAAAAACUCCAUUUAAAGUCUACACAGCAGAAUGAGCCAAUGUGAGGACAGAAUUUCAGAUAUAGAAGAUAAGACUGCAGUUAGUGACCCAGAAAAGAAAAAUUGCUUUAAAAUUGUAAGGGACCAUGAGAAAUCAAUCCAUCAGCUGCUAGACGAUGCAAAGAAGAAUAACAUAAGACUGACUGAAGUCAAUGAAGAAACAGGAGAGAGUGCAGAUGACAUAAAAAAAAACUAUUCACAGAAGUGAUGGCAGAAAACUUCCCAAGCAGGGGAAAAGAACUUGACAGACAGAUAAGUAAGGUAUAUAGGACUCCAACUAGGCUUGAUAAAAAAAACCACACAAAGGCAUAUAAUUAUUAAGAUUCCAGAAACCCAACAGAAGAACAAAGUUCUACAAGCAGUUAGAGAAAAGAAACAAAUCACGUACAAAGGAAAGCCCAUCAGAAUCACAGGAGACUUCUCAAUGAAAACCCUCAAGGCAAGAAGGGCUUGGAGUGAUUCAUUUCAAGCUCUAAAGGAAAACAGCCUCCAACCGAGAUUGAUGUACCCUGGAAAAUUAUCUUUCAAAAUUGAUGGAGAAAAAAAUUGAUGGAGAAAUAAGAUAUUUUCAUGAUAAAGAGCAACUUCAUGAAUACCAAACCAGCACUCCAAAAAAUUUUAGACAGUAUCUUAGGAAACAACAAUGAGGAUCACAACCCCAGGAAGCCCAGCAGAAUGAAUCCAUCAG